GGGCGGUUAGCUCAGUUGGUUAGAGUGCUUGCUUGACAUGCAAGAGGUCGCUGGUUCAAAUCCAGUACCGCCCA
Molecule: transfer RNA, 74 nt
Filed under: Fidelibacterota bacterium
Lineage: Bacteria; Pseudomonadati; Fidelibacterota
Also listed under: 2 other names
Description: tRNA-Val
Rfam family: tRNA
About the family: Transfer RNA (tRNA) molecules are approximately 80 nucleotides in length.
Source: RNAcentral